Molecule: transfer RNA, 87 nt
Filed under: Phycisphaeraceae bacterium
Lineage: Bacteria; Pseudomonadati; Planctomycetota; Phycisphaerae; Phycisphaerales; Phycisphaeraceae
Also listed under: 1 other name
Description: tRNA-Ser
Rfam family: tRNA
About the family: Transfer RNA (tRNA) molecules are approximately 80 nucleotides in length. Their secondary structure includes four short double-helical elements and three loops (D, anti-codon, and T loops). Further hydrogen bonds mediate the characteristic L-shaped molecular structure. tRNAs have two regions of fundamental functional importance: the anti-codon, which is responsible for specific mRNA codon recognition, and the 3' end, to which the tRNAs corresponding amino acid is attached (by aminoacyl-tRNA synthetases). tRNAs cope with the degeneracy of the genetic code in two manners: having more than one tRNA (with a specific anti-codon) for a particular amino acid; and 'wobble' base-pairing, i.e. permitting non-standard base-pairing at the 3rd anti-codon position.
Source: RNAcentral
GGAGAGGUGGCAGAGCGGCUGAAUGCGCUGGUCUCGAAAACCAGUUUCGCCUCCGGGCGAACGUGGGUUCGAAUCCCACCCUCUCCG